This 460-nucleotide ribosomal RNA is filed under the name uncultured bacterium. Its description in RNAcentral is "partial 16S ribosomal RNA". It matches the Rfam family "Bacterial small subunit ribosomal RNA", at positions 338 to 795 of the family's 1533-position model. The record is from RNAcentral.
CCUACGGGAGGCAGCAGUGAGGAAUAUUGGUCAAUGGACGAGAGCCUGAACCAGCCAAGUCGCGUGAAGGAUGACUGCCCUAUGGGUUGUAAACUUCUUUUAUAUGGGAAUAAAAUGUUCCACGUGUGGGAUUUUGUAUGUACCAUAUGAAUAAGGAUCGGCUAACUCCGUGCCAGCAGCCGCGGUAAUACGGAGGAUCCGAGCGUUAUCCGGAUUUAUUGGGUUUAAAGGGAGCAUAGGUGGAUUGUUAAGUCAGUUGUGAAAGUUUGCGGCUCAACCGUAAAAUUGCAGUUGAAACUGGCAGUCUUGAGUACAGUAGAGGUGGGCGGAAUUCGUGGUGUAGCGGUGAAAUGCUUAGAUAUCACGAAGAACUCCGAUUGCGAAGGCAGCUCACUGGACUGCAACUGACACUGAGGCUCGAAAGUGUGGGUAUCAAACAGGAUUAGAUACCCUGGUAGUC